This 302-nucleotide ribosomal RNA is filed under the name uncultured bacterium. Its description in RNAcentral is "partial 16S ribosomal RNA". It matches the Rfam family "Bacterial small subunit ribosomal RNA", at positions 508 to 807 of the family's 1533-position model. The record is from RNAcentral.
GCAGUAGCCACGGGAAUACAGAGGGUGCGAGCGUUAAUCGGAUUUACUGGGCGUAAAGCGUGCGUAGGCGGCUAAUUGAGUCGGAUGUGAAAUCCCCGAGCUUAACUUGGGAAUUGCAUUCGAUACUGGUUAGCUAGAGUGUGGGAGAGGAUGGUAGAAUUCCAGGUGUAGCGGUGAAAUGCGUAGAGAUCUGGAGGAAUACCGAUGGCGAAGGCAGCCAUCUGGCCUAACACUGACGCUGAGGUACGAAAGCAUGGGGAGCAAACAGGAUUAGAUACCCGAGUAGUCCCUGUCUCUUAUAC